RNAcentral lists this long non-coding RNA (1146 nucleotides) under Eucalyptus grandis. Its description in RNAcentral is "long non-coding RNA (EGRA_LNC005462)". Lineage: Eukaryota; Viridiplantae; Streptophyta; Magnoliopsida; Myrtales; Myrtaceae. The record is from RNAcentral.
UUUUUAAAUAUCCCACAGUGGGGAUUGAUUUGUUUGGCAUGUAAUCGGCUAGGUCGAUUUGAUCGAUGCUUCGAUCGGUCAUAUGAUUGCUUGGGUGCCUAUUAUGAAUUGUACUGACUUGCAGGUGAGAUCUGAGGCCAAGGUAAGUCCUCUGCCCUGUGCGUGUUUAGGCAGCCUUUAGUAUAAUAGUUUUCUAAUCGGGCUUAGUGGGGUAGAACUCGCUGAGACGUAGUCUCAUCCCAGUUUGGGGAAAACCAUUUCAGGACCCCGCUGAAGAGCUGAGGAGGAGGAAUCCGAGAAGGAGAACUCGGAGGUGAGAUCUGAAGAAAAGGAUUUUGGAAGAAGAAGACAAUUCUGAGAGAGGCCUUGAGUACGGCCUAGUUUGUCUAAGUUUCUGUCUUCUUUUGAGAUCUCCAUUUUGAUGUGAAUAGUUUCGAAGUGGUUUGUGUUUUGUAUAAAAGUGUGGUUAUAAAUUUCAAUAUGAAAAAUAUGGCCCUGCUUUUCUAUCCCAUCGUUUUAUUGUCUGGGGAUUUUAAUUACUUCCGCAUGUGCUUAAGAAGAAAAGAAAGGGUCGGCGAUACAUUGUCCUGGGAUAUCGCAUUAUAAAAUCGACCAAGGUAGAAGGAUGUGUGCGUGCCCGAGGAUCGGGGCGUGACAGCAACGAUCCAUAUAUCAGCUUGUGCGAGCUACCAUCUAUAUCAGCUUAUGCGAGCUACCAUCUAUAUCAGCUUGUGAGAGCAUUGCAUCCAUUUCAGCUUGUGCGAGCCGUAAUUGUAUUGAUGGAUGAAUAGACGGUAUGGUUUAAUAGAUGAUAUGAAUUGAUAGAUGUGUGGAUCGUAUGAUAUCAAUUGGAUUGACUGAAUUGAUAGACCGCUGGGUAUGUCGGUAGUUUCAGCUUGUGCGAGUAUUGUUCAAUAUGAAUUGUACUGACGUGCAGGAAAGGGAUUGAGGCGAGGUAAGCCCUCUAUCCUAUUUGUGUGGCUAGAGCGCCCUGAGGCGUAUUUUCUUUCUAAUUGAGUUUUAGAGGGUAGGACUCGCUGAGACGUAGUCUCAUCCCGGUUGUGGGAUAAUAUUUCAGGUCCCUAGAUGACAGUCGUGGAGGACCGGAAGUCCUGGAGUUCGGAAGGUGGAGGCUGAAGAAUCGGC